Molecule: transfer RNA, 72 nt
Filed under: Dehalococcoidia bacterium
Lineage: Bacteria; Bacillati; Chloroflexota; Dehalococcoidia
Also listed under: 1 other name
Description: tRNA-Thr
Rfam family: tRNA
About the family: Transfer RNA (tRNA) molecules are approximately 80 nucleotides in length. Their secondary structure includes four short double-helical elements and three loops (D, anti-codon, and T loops).
Source: RNAcentral
GCCAGCGUAGCUCAGUGGAAGAGCAGCGCUUUCGUAAAGCGCGGGCCGUGGGUUCGAAUCCCUCCGCUGGCU